GCAAGUGUGAGCAGGUAAUAUGGAGAGAGUGACAUUGUUAACAAAAACCCAUCUAAUUAACAAUGACUUCAUUUGAUUGGAAGGAUGAAGAAGCCUUUUUAAAUCAAUCCAGAUUUACAGGCCUAAGCACAGCCAAUUAUGAAUAUGGAGCCCAACUGGGGUCUGCUUUCUUUCAAAGAUGUCAUCUCAGAGGUAAUAGCAUAGGUGAAGUCAUUUGGUUACACCGUGGAAACUUUUAUAGUGCCUUCCUUGGGAAUUUAAUUCACUGCCUCUUCAUUUUAUUAGGAACAGACUGACUCUAUCAACUGUGCUCUCCCUGUUUAGAGGCAAGACUGCUUGAAGCAAUUAGGUUUACAAUUAGCAUAGUUUUAGUGACCCCAGCCAUAGCACUACCACGGCUCCUUUACAUUAGCCAUUUCUUCAAAGUCAGGGAAAACCUGGGGCACAAUCUGCUUCCCAGGCGUCCAGGCUGGGGAACCGAGCACACACCCAGUAUCCAAGAGCCCAGGUGUUUGCUUCAGAACUUGGUGGGUUUCAGCCCAGGCUCUGAUCCUGACUUCACUU
Molecule: long non-coding RNA, 564 nt
Filed under: Rattus norvegicus (Norway rat)
Lineage: Eukaryota; Metazoa; Chordata; Mammalia; Rodentia; Muridae
Description: long non-coding RNA NONRATT014881
Source: RNAcentral